ACUUAGGGCUUGAUUACUCGGGACCAAAAAACCCUACCUCUUCUUUCUCUCCCGACGCCGUUCUCUGCUCGAAUGAAAACACAAAAGAGGGCUUAGGGCUUCACUCCGGCGGCCGGCCAAGGCAAGGUUCUAUGGAUUCUUCACACCGCCGAGCUCCUCUUGACGAGGAGAAAUCUGGAGCACGAGGAGGAGCCGCGAUUUCGAGUCUUCCGAUUAGAGCUCCGAGACUUAGAAGUCCUCCUUGCGUUUGGUUGUAAGUCCAAGAACGCUAGAUAAAGGAAAAGCUAAAGUAUAAGGAAGAAGGCGACAAGGAGAUGCUGUGACGAUAAAGGAAAGGAAUAGUUAUGGCAAAGGAAGGCGACAAGGAGGUGCGGAUGGAUGUGUGAUGCCCGGACUAUAGAAGCCUUCGGAUCUAGUUUAAGAUUUUAUUAAGAUAUUUGGUAUUUAAACUAUGGGGAUUGUUUAUUCAUGUAGAUAAUUUAAUUCAUAAGACGACUUUAUGUACUUAGGAUUCCUUCAUUGUUAUGCACAUUAGACCUAUCAUCUGAGUUGUAUAAUGGAUGCAUGCAUGUUUAGAUUAAUACAUAUAUUUCAGCAUGAUUAGAUUGAUA
Zingiber officinale is the source of this 611-nucleotide long non-coding RNA. RefSeq lists it as uncharacterized. The transcript has 3 exons. Lineage: Eukaryota; Viridiplantae; Streptophyta; Magnoliopsida; Zingiberales; Zingiberaceae. The record is from RefSeq and is a predicted model, not a curated record.